CAGCAGCCGCGGAAUACAGAGGGUGCGAGCGUUAAUCGGAUUUACUGGGCGUAAAGCGUGCGUAGGCGGCUUCUUAAGUCGGAUGUGAAAUCCCUGAGCUUAACUUAGGAAUUGCAUUCGAUACUGGGAAGCUAGAGUAUGGGAGAGGAUGGUAGAAUUCCAGGUGUAGCGGUGAAAUGCGUAGAGAUCUGGAGGAAUACCGAUGGCGAAGGCAGCCAUCUGGCCUAAUACUGACGCUGAGGUACGAAAGCAUGGGGAGCAAACAGGAUUAGAUACCCCCGUAGUCCCUGUCUCUUAUACC
Molecule: ribosomal RNA, 301 nt
Filed under: uncultured bacterium
Lineage: Bacteria
Description: partial 16S ribosomal RNA
Rfam family: Bacterial small subunit ribosomal RNA
Source: RNAcentral